UUUCAGUUUUCUGAUAUAAUGUUUUGAUUCUAUGUUUUAUUUAAAAUUUUUUUACGAUUAAUAUUUUUUCUUACGAGAUGAUAAACAUAAAUAGUACUUUAUGCGUGAUUUUUUUUAAAAAAAAUUUUAUAUAAAAUUUUUAAAUAAGACGAAUAGUCAAAUGUUGGACACGGAAAAACA
RNAcentral lists this microRNA precursor (180 nucleotides) under Oryza brachyantha (malo sina). RNAcentral's name for it is "MIR812 microRNA precursor family". It matches the Rfam family "MIR812 microRNA precursor family", at positions 15 to 191 of the family's 205-position model. The record is from Rfam by way of RNAcentral. Lineage: Eukaryota; Viridiplantae; Streptophyta; Magnoliopsida; Poales; Poaceae.